This 453-nucleotide ribosomal RNA is filed under the name uncultured bacterium. RNAcentral describes it as "bacterial SSU rRNA". It matches the Rfam family "Bacterial small subunit ribosomal RNA", at positions 340 to 786 of the family's 1533-position model. The record is from RNAcentral.
UACGGAUGGCAGCAGUGGGGAAUAUUGCACAAUGGGCGAAAGCCUGAUGCAGCUAUGCCGCGUGUAUGAAGAAGGCCUUAGGGUUGUAAAGUACUUUCAUCGGGGAGGAAAACAAAACUAAUAAUUUUAUUUCUUGACGUUACCCGAAAAAGAAGCACCGGCUAACUCCGUGCCAGCAGCCGCGGUAAUACGGAGGGUGCUAGCGUUAAUCAGAAUUACUGGGCGUAAAGAGCACGUAGGUGGUUUUUUUAAGUCAGAUGUGAAAUCCCUGGGCUUAACCUGGAACUGCAUUUUGAAACUGAAAUACUAGAGUAUCGUAGGGGGAGGUAGAAUUCUAGGUGUAGCGGUGAAAUGCGUAGAUAUCUGGAGGAAUACCUGUGGCGAAAGCGGCCUCCUAAACGAAUACUGACACUGAGGUGCGAAAGCGUGGGGAGCAAACAGGGAUUAGAUACC